UACGUAGGCAGCAAGCGUUGUUCGGAAUUACUGGGCGUAAAGAGUGUGUAGGCGGUGCUCCAAGUCUGGUGUGAAAUCUCCCGGCUUAACUGGGAGGGUGCAUUAGAAACUGGAAUGCUAGAGGAUGGGAGAGGUAAGCGGAAUUCCUGGUGUAGCGGUGAAAUGCGUAGAUAUCAGGAGGAACACCGGUGGUGUAGACGGCUUUCUGGACCGUAACUGACGCUGAGACACGAAAGCGUGGGUAGCAAACAGG
RNAcentral lists this ribosomal RNA (253 nucleotides) under uncultured bacterium. Its description in RNAcentral is "partial 16S ribosomal RNA". It matches the Rfam family "Bacterial small subunit ribosomal RNA", at positions 524 to 776 of the family's 1533-position model. The record is from RNAcentral.